UAAGGAAUAUUGGACAAUGGUGGAAACACUGAUCCAGCCAUGCCGCGUGAAGGAUGACGGCCCUAUGGGUUGUAAACUUCUUUUGNUAACGGGAAAACCUCUUUACGUGUAAGAGCUGAUUGUACUGUAAGAAUAAGGAUCGGCUAACUCCGUGCCAGCAGCCGCGGUAAUACGGAGGAUCCAAGCGUUAUCCGGAUUCAGUUGGGUUUAAAGGGUGCGUAGGCGGAAUGAUAAGUCAGUGGUGAAAGCCUGCAGCUUAACUGCAGAACUGCCAUUGAUACUGUCAAUCUUGAGUACAUUUGAUGUGGGCGGAAUGUGUCAUGUAGCGGUGAAAUGCUUAGAUAUGACACAGAACACCGAUUGCGAAGGCAGCUCACAAAACUGUAACUGACGCUGAGGC
Molecule: ribosomal RNA, 400 nt
Filed under: uncultured bacterium
Lineage: Bacteria
Description: bacterial SSU rRNA
Rfam family: Bacterial small subunit ribosomal RNA
Source: RNAcentral